This 347-nucleotide ribosomal RNA is filed under the name uncultured bacterium. RNAcentral's name for it is "bacterial SSU rRNA". It matches the Rfam family "Bacterial small subunit ribosomal RNA", at positions 8 to 349 of the family's 1533-position model. The record is from RNAcentral.
AGAGUUUGAUCAUGGCUCAGGAUGAACGCUAGCUACAGGCUUAACACAUGCAAGUCGAGGGGCAGCAUGUUGGUUGCUUGCAACCAACGAUGGCGACCGGCGCACGGGUGAGUAACGCGUAUCCAACCUACCCUUGUCCAUCGGAUAACCCGUCGAAAGGCGGCCUAACACGAUAUGCGGUUCACAGCAGGCAUCUAACGUGAACGAAAUGUGAAGGAGAAGGAUGGGGAUGCGUCUGAUUAGCUUGUUGGCGGGUAACGGCCACAAGGCUACGAUCAGUAGGGGUUCUGAGAGGAACGGUCCCCCANAUUGGAACUGAGACACGGUCCAAACUCCGUACGGGAGCA